GCUGGGCACAGUGGUGCAUGCCUGUAAUCCCAGUGGCUAGGGAGGCUGAGGCAGGAGGAUCGCAAGUUCAAAGCCAGUCUCAGCAAUUUAGUGAGGUCCUAAAGCAAGAACUUGCCUCAA
Molecule: small RNA, 120 nt
Filed under: Marmota monax (woodchuck)
Lineage: Eukaryota; Metazoa; Chordata; Mammalia; Rodentia; Sciuridae
Source: RNAcentral